GAUAUGGCUCAGGACGAACGCUGGCGGCGCGCCUAACACAUGCAAGUCGAACGAGCGAGAGAGAGCUUGCUUUCUCGAGCGAGUGGCGAACGGGUGAGUAACGCGUGAGGAACCUGCCUCAAAGAGGGGGACAACAGUUGGAAACGACUGCUAAUACCGCAUAAGCCCACGGCUCGGCAUCGAGCAGAGGAAAAAGGAGCAAUCCGCUUUGAGAUGGCCUCGCGUCCGAUUAG
Molecule: ribosomal RNA, 233 nt
Filed under: uncultured bacterium
Lineage: Bacteria
Description: partial 16S ribosomal RNA
Rfam family: Bacterial small subunit ribosomal RNA
Source: RNAcentral